This is a long non-coding RNA of Bactrocera tryoni, 431 nucleotides long. RefSeq lists it as uncharacterized. The transcript is spliced from 3 exons. The record is from RefSeq and is a predicted model, not a curated record. NCBI's taxonomy places the organism in Eukaryota, Metazoa, Arthropoda, Insecta, Diptera, Tephritidae.
UGUUGGAUCGACCAGGGUUAUUUUUUUUGAAGCGCGGCCGAAGGCCUCCAACGCGAAAAGGAGUUUUACCGGAGUGUACCCGGUGUUGGAUCGGCCAGGGUUAUUUUUUUGAAGCGCGGCCGAAGGCCACCAAUGCAGAAAGAAGUGGGACGCGAAUGGACUAAUGUUUACCCAGGUGUUGGAUUGGCCAGGGUUCUUUAAGCGUGGUCGAAGGCUGCUAAUGCACAAAGAUGUAUCGUUAAACAAAGCAUUGGAAUCUUAAAAAGACGGGGGAGAAUUUUAGGAUAUAGCAAGAGAGGAAAUGGACACCGGGCUAGCGAACCGCCUCACCGCAAUCGACCAAACGAUAAGUGGCCAAAUAAAGUAUUCUUUAAUAAAUUUAAUUCAAAAAUGUAUAUGUCCUUUACCUUGUAAAUAAUUUUAUUUUUAAU